UCGAAAGUGUACAAGUGGGUUAUGGCAAAUGCAGUGCUCUCCGAGUGCCCAGAUGGUAUAAUGAUAGUCAAAAAGUGUGGAACACUGGACACUUUCUCAUCCUCAAAUCAUCGCCUUUUUGGCUACGUAGCAGAAGAGGAAAGCUGCAGCGGGUGCUCUGGAGAACACAGCACAAUGAAAAUACUAGAAAAGCAGGGUCUAACCUGGAACCAGAUGGCGUUGACUAUCUUGCUGAGGACGAACAGAGGGAGAACCCAGAGAGCACUGAAGACAGAGGUCAGGAUGAACUCUAACCAGGACCACACGCUGCCAUGGAGGGAGGGGUCACCUGGAGCAAAGGAAGACAGCUUAUUGACUGACAGGUUCGUCAAGCCAGUGAACCUGCCCCGGAAUAACAAGUGGCCAUACGUACCAAUGAUUUUUGCUGUUAGAGUCUGCAGCAGUGGAAUAAACACCCGGUAGAAGAGAAACAGACUGAGCUGGAGAGAGAAAAUGAAAUGCUUGAGUUACUCUUUAAGCCAUGCUCCCACAUAUAAUACGAUUUUUAAAAUCUGG
Molecule: long non-coding RNA, 555 nt
Organism: Micropterus dolomieu (smallmouth bass)
Lineage: Eukaryota; Metazoa; Chordata; Actinopteri; Centrarchiformes; Centrarchidae
Exons: 2
Source: RefSeq, a predicted model, not a curated record